Molecule: non-coding RNA, 21 nt
Filed under: Caenorhabditis elegans
Lineage: Eukaryota; Metazoa; Nematoda; Chromadorea; Rhabditida; Rhabditidae
Source: RNAcentral
UAUGCCAUCUGUUUCCUCAAA